Molecule: ribosomal RNA, 755 nt
Filed under: uncultured Methylocystis sp.
Lineage: Bacteria; Pseudomonadati; Pseudomonadota; Alphaproteobacteria; Hyphomicrobiales; Methylocystaceae
Description: bacterial SSU rRNA
Rfam family: Bacterial small subunit ribosomal RNA
Source: RNAcentral
GUGAAAUCCCAAGGCUCAACCUUGGAACUGCCUUUGAUACUGGAAGUCUCGAGUCCGGGAGAGGUGAGAGGAACUGCGAGUGUAGAGGUGAAAUUCGUAGAUAUUCGCAAGAACACCAGUGGCGAAGGCGGCUCACUGGCCCGGAACUGACGCUGAGGUGCGAAAGCGUGGGAGCAAACAGGAUUAGAUACCCUGGUAGUCCACGCCGUAAACUAUGGAUGCUAGCCGUUGGGGAGCUUGCUCUUCAGUGGCGCAGCUAACGCUUUAAGCAUCGCGCCUGGGGAGUACGGUCGCAAGAUUAAACUCCCAAGGAAUUGACGGGGGCCCGCACAAGCGGUGGAGCAUGUGGUCUAAUUCGAAGCAACGCGCAGAACCUUACCAGCUUUUGACAUGCCCGGUAUGAUCGCCAGAGAUGGCUUUCUUCCCGCAAGGGGCCGGUGCACAGGUGCUGCAUGGCUGUCGUCAGCUCGUGUCGUGAGAUGUUGGGUUAAGUCCCGCAGCGAGCGCAACCCUCGCCCUUAGUUGCCAUCAUUCAGUUGGGCACUCUAGGGGGACUGCCGGUGAUAAGCCGCGAGGAAGGUGGGGAUGACGUCAAGUCCUCAUGGCCCUUACAGGCUGGGCUACACACGUGCUACAAUGGCGGUGACAAUGGGAUGCGAAAGGGCGACCUCGAGCAAAUCUCAAAAAGCCGUCUCAGUUCGGAUUGCACUCUGCAACUCGAGUGCAUGAAGGUGGAAUCGCUAGUAAUCGCAGAU